GAUGAACGCUAGCUACAGGCUUAACACAUGCAAGUCGAGGGGAAACGAUAGAGAAAGCUUGCUUUUUCUAGGCGUCGACCGGCGCACGGGUGAGUAACGCGUAUCCAACCUGCCCACCACUUGGGGAUAACCUUGCGAAAGUAAGACUAAUACCCAAUGACGUCUCUAGAAGACAUCUGAAAGGGAUUAAAGAUUUAUCGGUGAUGGAUGGGGAUGCGUCUGAUUAGCUUGUUGGCGGGGUAACGGCCCACCAAGGCUACGAUCAGUAGGGGUUCUGAGAGGAAGGUCCCCCCACAUUGGAACUGAGACACGGUCCAAACUCCUACGGGAGCAGCAGUGAGGAAUAUUGGGUCAAUGGGGCGAGAGCCUGAACCAGCCAAGUAGCGUGCAGGGAUGACGGCCCUAUGGGUUGUAAACUGCUUUUUAUAAGGGAAUAAAGUGAGCCUCGUGAGGCUUUUUGCAUGUACCUUUAUGAAAUAAGGGACCGGCUAAUUCCGUGCCAGCAGCCGCGGUAAC
This 516-nucleotide ribosomal RNA is filed under the name uncultured bacterium. RNAcentral's name for it is "bacterial SSU rRNA". It matches the Rfam family "Bacterial small subunit ribosomal RNA", at positions 28 to 524 of the family's 1533-position model. The record is from RNAcentral.